This is a non-coding RNA of Mycena maculata, 95 nucleotides long. Lineage: Eukaryota; Fungi; Basidiomycota; Agaricomycetes; Agaricales; Mycenaceae. The record is from the annotation of a GenBank genome assembly.
GGCCUGGUGGUGUAAUGGUAGCGCGCUGUAUAAACUUGGGCCAAGAUACGUGGAAGUUCUUGCGGAGGUCCCCCGUUCGACUCGCAGCCAGGCCA